GAUGAACGUUGGCGGCAUGGAUUAGGCAUGCAAGUCGUGCGCGAAACGUAGCAAUACGUAGAGAGCGGCGAAAGGGAGAGGAAUACGUGGGAACCUACCUCGGGGCCUGGAAUAGCGGCGGGAAACUGCCGGUAAUGCCAGAUAACGUCUCCGGACCAAAGGUGUGAUUCCGCCUGGAGAUGGGCCCACGUCCUAUCGGCUAGUUGGUGUGGUAACGGCGCACCAAGGCUAAGACGGGUAUGGGGUGUGAGAGCAUGCCCCCACUCCCUGGGACUGAGACACUGCCCAGACACCUACGGGUGGCUGCAGUCGAGAAUCUUCGGCAAUGAGCGCAAGCUUGACCGAGCGAUGCCGCGUGCGGGAUGAAGGCCCUCGGGUUGUAAACCGCUGUCGUAGGGGAGUAAUGGUCAGAGGGUACUCUCUCUGAUUUGAACAAUCCUAGGAGGAAGGACGGGCUAAGUUCGUGCCAGCCGCCGCCGUAA
Molecule: ribosomal RNA, 482 nt
Filed under: uncultured bacterium
Lineage: Bacteria
Description: partial 16S ribosomal RNA
Rfam family: Bacterial small subunit ribosomal RNA
Source: RNAcentral